Molecule: transfer RNA, 73 nt
Filed under: Solirubrobacterales bacterium
Lineage: Bacteria; Bacillati; Actinomycetota; Thermoleophilia; Solirubrobacterales
Also listed under: 4 other names
Description: tRNA-Ala
Rfam family: tRNA
About the family: Transfer RNA (tRNA) molecules are approximately 80 nucleotides in length. Their secondary structure includes four short double-helical elements and three loops (D, anti-codon, and T loops).
Source: RNAcentral
GGGGCUAUAGCUCAGUUGGGAGAGCGCUUGCAUGGCAUGCAAGAGGUCGCCGGUUCGAGCCCGGCUAGCUCCA